AGUGAACGCUGGCGGUAGGCCUAACACAUGCAAGUCGAACGGCAGCACAGGAGAGCUUGCUCUCUGGGUGGCGAGUGGCGGACGGGUGAGGAAUACAUCGGAAUCUACUCUGUCGUGGGGGAUAACGUAGGGAAACUUACGCUAAUACCGCAUACGACCUACGGGUGAAAGCAGGGGACCUUCGGGCCUUGCGCGAUUGAAUGAGCCGAUGUCGGAUUAGCUAGUUGGCGGGGUAAAGGCCCACCAAGGCGACGAUCCGUAGCUGGUCUGAGAGGAUGAUCAGCCACACUGGAACUGAGACACGGUCCAGACUCCUACGGGAGGCAGCAGUGGGGAAUAUUGGACAAUGGGCGCAAGCCUGAUCCAGCCAUACCGCGUGGGUGAAGAAGGCCUUCGGGUUGUAAAGCCCUUUUGUUGGGAAAGAAAUCCAGCUGGCUAAUACCCGGUUGGGAUGACGGUACCGUAAGAAUAAGCACCGGCUAACUACGUGCCAGCCGCCGCCGUAA
Molecule: ribosomal RNA, 506 nt
Filed under: uncultured bacterium
Lineage: Bacteria
Description: partial 16S ribosomal RNA
Rfam family: Bacterial small subunit ribosomal RNA
Source: RNAcentral